This is a long non-coding RNA of Homo sapiens (human), 333 nucleotides long. RefSeq lists it as uncharacterized. NCBI's taxonomy places the organism in Eukaryota, Metazoa, Chordata, Mammalia, Primates, Hominidae. The transcript has 3 exons. The record is from RefSeq and is a predicted model, not a curated record.
CCCAGCUCAAAGGCAGUGACCCAGACCCAUGAUUCUCAAAACGUGCUUUUCCUAGUACAAGAGAUGCCAGUAUCUCCCAGGAACUUGUCCCAGGGGAGAGUGCAAAUGCAGUUCCCCAUUACCACAAAUUAUGAAGUCGAGUUUCCCACCUUUGGGGAAAUUGCAGGGAUCAGCACAUCCAGAGUACAAUGGAGAAGACUCGCCCUGGGAAAACCACCUUUGUGAUCAUGGUCUCUCCCCUGAUGGAAUACAAUUGGAAAAACUGGUUAUUUUCCCAAGGCUUUGACUGGAAUGGUGUGCUCUCCUCUAAGGAAUCAAACUUAAGAAGCCAAU